RNAcentral lists this unclassified non-coding RNA (290 nucleotides) under uncultured fungus. Its description in RNAcentral is "partial contains 5.8S rRNA, ITS2 and 28S rRNA". It matches the Rfam family "Eukaryotic large subunit ribosomal RNA", at positions 668 to 961 of the family's 3401-position model. Lineage: Eukaryota; Fungi. The record is from RNAcentral.
AAGGAGUCCAACAAAUACGCGAGUGUUUGGGUGGCAAACCCGAGCGCGAAAUGAAGGUUAAUGUAGGUGGGAUCCUUCGGGUGCACCAUCGACCGGUCUGGAUAAUUUUUUGAAAGAUCUGAGUAAGAGCGUAUUUGCUGAGACCCGAAAGAUGGUGAACUAUGCCUGAAUGGGGUGAAGUCAGAGGAAACUCUGAUGGAGGCUCGUAGCGGUUCUGACGUGCAAAUCGAUCGUCAAAUUUGGGUAUAGGGGCGAAAGACUAAUCGAACCAUCUAGUAGCUGGUUCCAUC